Molecule: transfer RNA, 70 nt
Filed under: Parantropora penelope
Lineage: Eukaryota; Metazoa; Bryozoa; Gymnolaemata; Cheilostomatida; Antroporidae
Description: tRNA-Asn
Rfam family: tRNA
About the family: Transfer RNA (tRNA) molecules are approximately 80 nucleotides in length.
Source: RNAcentral
GAGUUGAAAGCCAAAAGUUUGGCGUUUGAUUGUUAAUCAAAAGUUUGUGGGUGUUUUUCCACUUGGCUCA